This 72-nucleotide transfer RNA is filed under the name Chelonia mydas (Green sea turtle). It matches the Rfam family "tRNA". From Rfam's summary of the family: Transfer RNA (tRNA) molecules are approximately 80 nucleotides in length. Lineage: Eukaryota; Metazoa; Chordata; Testudines; Cheloniidae. The record is from Rfam by way of RNAcentral.
GGGGGCAUAGCUCAGCAGUAGAGCAUUUGCCUGCAGCUUAAGAAGUCCCCAGUUCAGGUCUAGGUGAUUCCC